GUGUCAGCAGCCGCGGUAAUACGGAGGGUGCUAGCGUUGUUCGGAAUUAUUGGGCGUAAAGAGCGUGUAGGCGGCCUCGUAAGUCAGAUGUGAAAGCCCUUGGCUUAACCAAGGAAGUGCAUUUGAAACUGCCUGGCUUGAGUACGGGAGGGGAAAGCGGAAUUCCCGGUGUAGAGGUGAAAUUCGUAGAUAUCGGGAGGAACACCGGUGGCGAAGGCGGCUUUCUGGACCGAUACUGACGCUGAGACGCGAAAGCGUGGGGAGCAAACAGGAUUAGAUACCCUGGUAGUCCACGCCGUAAACUUUGGGCACUAGGUGUUGCGGGUAUUGACCCCUGCAGUGCCGAAGCUAACGCAUUAAGUGCCCCGCCUGGGGAGUACGGUCGCAAGACUAAA
RNAcentral lists this ribosomal RNA (395 nucleotides) under uncultured bacterium. RNAcentral describes it as "bacterial SSU rRNA". It matches the Rfam family "Bacterial small subunit ribosomal RNA", at positions 505 to 898 of the family's 1533-position model. The record is from RNAcentral.